This 71-nucleotide transfer RNA is filed under the name Bos taurus (domestic cattle). It matches the Rfam family "tRNA". From Rfam's summary of the family: Transfer RNA (tRNA) molecules are approximately 80 nucleotides in length. Their secondary structure includes four short double-helical elements and three loops (D, anti-codon, and T loops). The record is from Rfam by way of RNAcentral. Lineage: Eukaryota; Metazoa; Chordata; Mammalia; Artiodactyla; Bovidae. RNAcentral also lists the same sequence under 4 other names.
CCCCUCAUAUCUCAGUCGGUAAAGAAUCUGCCUGCAAUGCAGGAGACCCAGGUUCAACACCUGGGUUGGGA